This 560-nucleotide ribosomal RNA is filed under the name Acinetobacter baumannii. RNAcentral describes it as "bacterial SSU rRNA". It matches the Rfam family "Bacterial small subunit ribosomal RNA", at positions 97 to 655 of the family's 1533-position model. Lineage: Bacteria; Pseudomonadati; Pseudomonadota; Gammaproteobacteria; Moraxellales; Moraxellaceae. The record is from RNAcentral.
CGCCGACGGUGAUAAUGCUUAGAAUCUGCCUGUUAGUGGGGGACAACAUCCCGAAAGGAAUGCUAAUACCGCAUACGUCCUACGGGAGAAAGCAGGGGAUCUUCGGACCUUGCGCUAUUAGAUGAGCCUAAGUCGGAUUAGCUAGUUGGUGGGGUAAAGGCCUACCAAGGCGACGAUCUGUACCUGGUCUGAGAGGAUGAUCCGCCACACUGGAACUGAGACACGGCCCAGACUCCUACGGGAGGCAGCAGUGGGGAAUAUUGGACAAUGGGGGAAACCCUGAUCCAGCCAUGCCGCGUGUGUGAAGAAGGCCUUAUGGUUGUAAAGCACUUUAAGCGAGGAGGAAGCUACUUUAGUUAAUACCUAGAGAUAUUGAACGUUACUCCCAAAAAAACCACCGGUUAAUUCUUGGCCACCACCCCCGGAAUAACAAAGGGUGCAAGCGUUAUUCGAAUUUACGGGGCUAAAAGCGUGCGAAGGCGGUCUAUUAAUUCGAAGGUGAAAUCCCCGAGCUUACCUGGGGAAUUGCUUUCAAUACGGCUGACCUAGAGUAUGGAAAG